AUUGAACGCUGGCGGCAGGCCUAACACAUGCAAGUCGAAUGGUAACAGGAAACAGCUUGCUGUUUCGCUGACGAGUGGCGGACGGGUGAGUAAUGUCUGGGAAACUGCCUGAUGGAGGGGGAUAACUACUGGAAACGGUAGCUAAUACCGCAUAACGUCGCAAGACCAAAGAGGGGGACCUUCGGGCCUCUUGCCAUCAGAUGUGCCCAGAUGGGAUUAGCUAGUAGGUGGGGUAACGGCUCACCUAGGCGACGAUCCCUAGCUGGUCUGAGAGGAUGACCAGCCACACUGGAACUGAGACACGGUCCAGCCUCCUACGGGAGGCAGCAGGGGGGAAUAUUGCACAAUGGGCGCAAGCCUGAUGCAGCCAUGCCGCGUGUAUGAAGAAGGCCUUCGGGUUGUAAAGUACUUUCAGCGGGGAGGAAGGGAGUAAAGUUAAUACCUUUGCUCAUUGACGUUACCCGCAGAAGAAGCACCGGCUAACUCC
RNAcentral lists this ribosomal RNA (487 nucleotides) under uncultured bacterium. RNAcentral describes it as "partial 16S ribosomal RNA". It matches the Rfam family "Bacterial small subunit ribosomal RNA", at positions 30 to 504 of the family's 1533-position model. The record is from RNAcentral.